Molecule: ribosomal RNA, 168 nt
Filed under: Chrysiptera cyanea (sapphire devil)
Lineage: Eukaryota; Metazoa; Chordata; Actinopteri; Pomacentridae
Description: partial 12S rRNA
Source: RNAcentral
CACCGCGGUUAUACGAGAGGCUCAAGUUAACAGACAACGGCGUAAAGCGUGGUUAGGGAAAUCUUUAAACUAAAGCCGAACACCCUCAGAGCUGUUAAACGCUUACGAGCUAAGAAGCCCCAUUACGAAAGUAGCUUUAUUUUACCUGACCCCACGAAAGCUGAGGAA